This 253-nucleotide ribosomal RNA is filed under the name uncultured bacterium. Its description in RNAcentral is "partial 16S ribosomal RNA". It matches the Rfam family "Bacterial small subunit ribosomal RNA", at positions 524 to 776 of the family's 1533-position model. The record is from RNAcentral.
UACGGAGGGGGCUAGCGUUAUUCGGAAUUAUUGGGCGUAAAGGGCGCGUAGGCGGCCCGGUAAGUCAAAGGUGAAAUCCCUCGGCUCAACUGAGGAACUGCCUUUGAAACUGUCGGGCUUGAGGCCGGGAGGGGGUAGCGGAAUUCCCAGUGUAGCGGUGAAAUGCGUAGAUAUCUGGAGGAACACCGGUGGCGAAGGCGGCAUCCUGGACCGGUAUUGACGCUGAGGCGCGAAAGCCAGGGGAGCAAACGGG